AUUGAACGCUGGCGGCAGGCCUAACACAUGCAAGUCGAGCGGAUGAAGGGAGCUUUCUCCUGGAUUCAGCGGCGGACGGGUGAGUAAUGCCUAGGAAUCUGCCUGGUAGUGGGGGAUAACGUCCGGACACGGGCGCUAAUAUCGCAUACGUCCUGAGGGUGAAAGGGGGGGAUCUUUGGACCUCGCGCUAUCUGAUGAGCCUAGGACGGAUUAGCUAGUUGGUGGGGUAAAGGCGUACCAAGGCGACGAUCCGUAACCGGUCUGAGAGGAUGAUCAGCCACACUGGAACUGAGACACGGUCCAGACUCCUACGGGAGGCAGCAGUGGGGAAUAUUGGACAAAGGGCGAAAGCCUGAUCCAGCCAUGCCGCGUGUGUGAAGAAGGUCUUCGGAUUGUAAAGCACUUUAAGUUGGGAGGAAGGGCAGUAAGUUAAUACCUUCCUGUUUUGACGUUACCAACAGAAUAAGCACCGGCUAACUUCGUG
Molecule: ribosomal RNA, 484 nt
Filed under: uncultured bacterium
Lineage: Bacteria
Description: partial 16S ribosomal RNA
Rfam family: Bacterial small subunit ribosomal RNA
Source: RNAcentral